UUUGCAAACAGGUUGUGAAACUGUUGGAAUCUUGAAAUCAGCCAUGGUGGGAUUAUUUACACCCUGGAAAUUGGCAAAACACUGUAAACCAAGGUUUUCCCCUCUGCCCCAGAGAGCCAAUUUACUAGCAUACAGCGAGUUCAAAUAUUAAAAGAACACUUUAAUGAAAAAGCCUACUUUUCUAAUAAUUCCUAGUUUUCUAAUAAUUCUCCCUACUGACCAACUCUUAAACUUUAACCUUUCCCCUGAGUGACUCCAAGUCUAGUUUCCCUUCUUUCAUUAGGCUCUUCUAAUCCAUGCAGAAACGAUUAUAACUGAACACUAAUUUGUAGGAAGCCCAUAUUUGAAUAUUAAUAAUCAAGAGUACAGAUUUGAAUUUGACUCCAGCUCGGACAAUCUGGGUUUGAAUCCACAGGCCUGUAUUUACCAGAUAUGAGGUUUAAAUAGUACUCACUUUUUUAUGCUUCCGUUUUCCUAUUUGUGAAAGAGGCAUAAUAGUUCUCACCUAAAGGAGUUGCUGUGGGAAUAAUAUCUUCCCUAUAGGGUUGUUUUGGGGAUUAAAUGACUCAUCAUAUGUAAAGCAUUUGGAACUCUGGACAUAGAAAGCCCUUCACUUGUACUUGUGAUUGAGAAGGUUAUCAUGUCUACCUGGCACACUCUAGACAGGCACUAAAUUAUAAUUUAUUCUGUUCUUUUUGCAAUUCUGUUAUUAUGUAGAAAUGGUUUAAAACACCUUUUUCUUCAGGGGCUGCAAGGCUGAUGUCUCCUGGGCUGCAGCCUGGCCAUGUGGAGAGUUCCUGUUGUCACAUCUGAUGCCAUAUUCUGGGAGUGACGCUUUAGCUUUGAAAAUGAGCAAGUACAAAGUGGUGUGGUCCAGGCAACCUAUGGCCUUUGGAAGGAGGCAGGACAAGGAGUGGUCCUAUGUUCAGUAGCACUCUGAUUGCAGAGCGCCUCAAGAGAUGGGACAGAAUCAGUGGGGCCCAUCCCAUGAGCAUGCCAAUGCCAACAGGAAGGGGGAGAGGAGGUGUCUCACUGGCUCACACUCCAUGGACAGAGCCAGCUUGGCAUUCCAGCUCCUUGGCCUCUGUGGACUAAGUCCUCCAGGGCCUCCAGUACAAAUAAUAUCAAUCUGCCAUGAUGACCAGUUGAAUAAGAAAAAGAGGAGUGGGAUGAAGGGGAAAAGAAUCGUGGCCAACAGCCAUUGGGAGCUUAGCAUGUGUGAGAAUCCAUGCUAGUAGUUUAUACACAACACUUCAUGAAUACACGUAACAACCUGUGAGGCACACUGCAUUAUCAGCUCUGUUUUACAGAAUGAGAAGUUGAAUCACAGAGGGGUGAAUGAACCUGUCCAAGGUCACAGAGAUUAUCAGUGGUAUAGGAUUCAAAGAUAGGCCCUCUGACCUAAGAACUCUAUGCUUAACCAUUGUACUCUAUGUUCGGAAGCAUUUUGAAUUCUGGGAUUGAAAUGAACACAUGAUUACAAGUUGGUGUCAUUAAAUAUAUUAGAAUACAUAAACCACAUCUCUGGAAAAUAAAAACAAUAGCCCUGAUUUUCCAUGUUUGUUCAUUUCCAUGGUGUAAAUAUUCCCACUGUGGUUCAUUUCAAACUGCCAAUGGAUUAGUACUGAGCUUUUAUCACUGCUGCAUAUCAUUGACUAAAAGUGUGAUAAGAUGUGUCUGAUGUAGGUUUAAGGGAAUUACAUCCUGGGCUCUAGUACCUCUUCACUUUACAUGCUGCUGUAGCAAGACUCAGUGUUUUUGAGCUUCAAAUUCCUCCCUCAUCUGCAAAACAAAAUUUGAGAGAAUCAGUUCGCCUUUACUUUUUUUUUUCCUUUAAAGUCUUAGGAAGGGUUUAUAAAAUGAGCCUUGACAGUUUUGAAAGUAUAGUAUGUUUUGUUAACUGUGAAAAUGGAAUCUGCUAGUCGCUGAAAAGAUCACUUUUGGAGAAGAAACAUUCAGUUUCAAGUUUACUGAAAUUCAGUAAACAUAGUCAUCUCUUUUCCUUCUCAGCUCUUUGCCUUGUCGAAGCGCUUCUUGAACUGAUUUUAUUAGUGGGUAAUAGUUGGAACAGAGACAAUCAAAGUCACUUUGUGAUUUCACCUGAGAGUAUUUUGAUUUUUCUGUGGCAAAGUUCCUUAAGCUAGGAUAUUUAAUACAGUUAGUUUCCUUUGUAUUCCUAUUUAUUAUAUUGCAUUUGUAUAUAAAGGCAUUAUUGAGAAGUGACCAAACUUCACAAGACUGCCAGAGAGGGCAGGAUCAAAAAUUAAAAAUAAAAAAAAAAUUAAAAAAGGAUGUGUAGGUAUCAAAAUGGAGGUUUCCAAGAGCUUAAGAACAGAGUUUCACCUUUAUCUGUGCUGGAGACGGCAGAUUUCUAGCAAAGGCAUGAAGAGCCAACCCUUCGUGGGCCUCACUCUCCAAAAGGCAAAGGAUGCCUCAUUUUUCUAAAAUGUAUCUAAAAGUAAAUGAAGUUUAUUAGUUAUUAAAUACACAUAGAGUUUUGAUUUUCAUAAACAUUCGUUUUUCCCACAUACAUACCCUUUUUAAAUUCUUUGCUACUUAGGCUUUAACUGAAUAUUGAUAGUUGAGAAUUAGCCUUCUUUCAGUCAUUGGGAAGCUAUUAUUUCAGGAUAGUCUGCAGUGAAAGAAACACUUGAUGUUCUCAUGUUGGAAACUUGGAUAUCCCUGAGCUUUCUUCUCCAACAGGAAGAUGUCCUUCAGCAUUCCCUCAUUCCUUUCACAAAUAAUGAAGACAUGCCACAUGCCAGGCAGAGCAAAGGCCCAGGGCCAUCAAAUGAAUGAGGUAUGCCCCUGCCCUGGUGCACUGCGGGGACUCCAGGGGAACAGAAAGUCACAACACAAGGUGGCCAGUGCUGAAAGAGAGAGAGGAGUAAGGAGCUGUGGAGGGCAUGACUGUCCACUGGCUGCACCGCCCCCAGCUGCAGAGGACACGGGGUGUAUCACAGAUAUAUAGACUUUCUCUAUUAAAAUCAUUUCCUUUUUGUUGAUUUGUAUAGAAUUGUAACAGUAAAGAUAAAUGUAAUGACUCAUUUUUAUUUUUUUAUUCUUGAGUUCAACUAAAAUGCAUACAGUACAUAUGCAUUUUCAAAUUCACAUGUGCAAAAAGGAAUAUUGCGUAUUCUAUCAGUAGUUCUCUAUCUUGGGUGCAGGGUAGAAUUAAUUACCUAGGGGUGGUUUUUAAAAAUACCAGUGUUUGGGCCACUUUUUCCUUGGUGGGCAAGGGCUCAAGAAAAUUCAUGAGCAAAGAUAGGAUGUAUUGAGGAGGCUGAGAGAUGCUGCCAGAGUCUGUGCUUCCCCAGGGACCCACACUGAUCACCCACAUUUGUGGCACAUGCUGGCUUUAGGGCGUUCUAGACUUACCUACCCCACUGGGUGGUUGGUACCAUGAGCCUAGACCACCUGCCAUCUGAUGAAGGACAGGAGCCCCUCUUGAAAGCCCCCUUGACCCUUGGAAAUGAUUUCCCAUCUGGAGAGUUGGUGCUUGAAAUUCCCCAAUUAGAUAGCUGUACUUUUUCUAGAAGCUUUUUUUUCCAUAAAAAUAUAUAAGUACCUCUGAGGAAUUAUACUGUUAUAUCUAAAGAAAUCCAAAACACUAAUUUGAAAAGAUGUGUGCAUCCCUAUGUUCAAUGAAGCAUUAUUUACGAUAGCCAAGAUAUGGUAGCAACCUAAUUGUCCGUCCAUAGGUGAAUGGAUGAAGAAGAUGUGCUAUGCAUAUAA
This is a long non-coding RNA of Phyllostomus discolor (pale spear-nosed bat), 3735 nucleotides long. RefSeq lists it as uncharacterized. The record is from RefSeq and is a predicted model, not a curated record. The transcript is spliced from 3 exons. Lineage: Eukaryota; Metazoa; Chordata; Mammalia; Chiroptera; Phyllostomidae.